UACAGAGGGUGCAAGCGUUAAUCGGAAUUACUGGGCGUAAAGCGCACGUAGGCGGUUUUUUAAGUCAGAUGUGAAAGCCCCGGGCUCAACCUGGGAAUUGCAUUUGAAACUGGGAAACUAGAGUGUGUGAGAGGGGGGUAGAAUUCCAAGUGUAGCGGUGAAAUGCGUAGAGAUUUGGAGGAAUACCAGUGGCGAAGGCGGCCCCCUGGCACAACACGACGCUCAGGUGCGAAAGCGUGGGGAGCAAACAGG
This 252-nucleotide ribosomal RNA is filed under the name uncultured bacterium. RNAcentral describes it as "partial 16S ribosomal RNA". It matches the Rfam family "Bacterial small subunit ribosomal RNA", at positions 524 to 776 of the family's 1533-position model. The record is from RNAcentral.